AAUAAGCGCAGCUACGAGUUUCUCUGUCUAACUUUGAUCGUUCGUCUUAUUUAAAAAAAUAUGAUUAUUAUUUUUAUUGCUAUUAUACUAUAAAACAUAAAUAGUAAUUUAUGCGUACCUUGUGUUUUUAGUUUUCUUUAUAAUAAAUAAGACGGACGAUAAAAGUUAGAUGCGGAAACUCAUGACUGAGUUUAUU
Non-coding RNA from Oryza nivara, 196 nucleotides. NCBI's taxonomy places the organism in Eukaryota, Viridiplantae, Streptophyta, Magnoliopsida, Poales, Poaceae. The record is from Rfam.